AUGGAGCAAUUGGAGAAGAGGAUGGAUGCUGCUGAACAACAAAUCAAAGAGCUGCGUGAAGAUCUUAAUAGGAGAUUUGACCAGCCGGUUGAGAUGAUAAGAAAGGGUGUCCCCCCUGCUACCAAUGAAGGAGAUUCAUCUAAAGAAGAGGAAGAUGUUCAUCAAGGAAGGAGAGGUAAUCUUGGAGCAAGACCGCCACGACAACAUGUUGUUCAACGUGCUUCAAGAAGGCCAAUUUAUGUUGAGGCUUCUGAAGGUGAAGAAUAUGAUGAUGCCCUUGAAGAGCCAAAUCUCUACGCAUAUCGGAGAGCACCCAACCCUACAUAUGCAAGAGAUACAUACAAGGUGAAAGCUGAGAUCCCAAGUUUUAAUGGAAAUGUUGACAUUGAAGGGUGCCUGGAUUGGUUAUAUGAAGUGGAGACUUUCUUUGAGGUCAUGGAGGUUCCGGAAGAUCGUAGAGUUCCUUUGGUCGCAUACAAACUGAAAGGAGGAGCCGGUGCAUGGUGGCAUCGCGUUCAAGAGGAGCGCAGGCUCAGAGGAGAACCUCGUGUUAGAACUUGGCGACAAAUGAAAGGCCUCUUGAAAGGGAGAUUUUUGCCCGCUGAUUAUGACCAGAUCCUAUUUAUCCAAUUUCAAAAUUGCGCUCAAGGAAAUAGGACUGUUUCAGAUUACACGGAGGAGUUUCUAAGGCUACAAGUGAGGUGCAACCUUGCUGAAACUGAAGAGCAACAAGUUGCAAGGUACAUCAAUGGUCUCAAUGAUGCUAUUCAAGAUCGAUUGAUGAUGCAACAAAUCUGGUCCGUUGAUCAAGCACAAGCUCUAGCCUUAAAGGCCGAGAGGUUUGUGAGGAUGAGAAAGACAACUAAGGCUCCAUAUCCUCCAUAUCCUCAUACCGAAGGCUCAUCUAGGAGCCAACCUAAUAGAGUGGAAGAAAAGACCACUCCACCAAAGACAAAACAGCCCAUCCCGAAGCAAACUAGAGGCAAGGGUAAGGCAAAUGAAGGCCCAAAGUGCUAUAAAUGUGGUAAAGAGGGACACAUAUCCAGCGGCUGCCCACUAAGGAAAUUUGUUAACACGACUAUCCAUGAUGGUGAAAGCGACGAGGAAGAAUACGAAUCUGAAGAUGUAGACGGACAAGAGGUUUGUCAAGAAGAAGGUGAAGAGGUGGUAUGUGUGAUCCAGCGUGUCCUAUGUUCCAUACCACAACUCGAUGACACACAACGGAAGAAAAUAUUUGAGAGCAAAUGCACGGUGAAUGGCAAGGUAUGCAAACUAGUGAUUGAUAGUUGCAGCUGCGAGAAUCUUAUCUCCCAGAAGUUGGUGGACCAUUUAAAGCUUGAAACCCAUGAUCAUCCAAAUCCCUACACUAUUGGAUGGAUCAAGAAAGGAGUGAAUAUGAGGAUCACCAAACAAUGCAACCUGCCACUUUCUUUGGGUAAGCAUUAUCGCUCAAAUGUGUUGUGUGAUGUGGUUGACAUGGAUGCCAGCCAUGUUCUUCUUGGGAGGCCUUGGCAAUUUGAUGUGGAUACUACACACAAGGGCAAGGAAAAUUCUUACUCUUUCAUUUGGAACAAGAGAAGGAUCAUUAUCUUACCAAACAAACCCGAAGGUAAUACCUCUAAGGAGGAGGGGAAAACUAUGUUAACUAUCUCCCAUACCUCUCAUGAGUUUAUGGAAGACUUGAAGGAGGCAGAUUUGUGUGCUGCACUUGUUGUAAAGGGAGAAGAGCACCUGACUGUUGAAAUUCCAGCAAAGGUACGUGGUUUAUUGGCAGAAUUUCAGAACAUACUUGGGGAGCCACAUGGCUUGCCACCGAUGAGAGGAAUUCAACAUAGAAUUGACUUAAUUCCGGGAGCAAGUCUUCCUAAUCUUCCACACUAUCGAAUGAGCCCAAAGGAGCAUGGUAUAUUGAAGGAGAAAGUGGAGGAAUUGUUGCAGAAGGGGCACAUUCGAGAAAGUAUUAGCCCAUGUGUUGUACCAGCCCUACUCGCGCCAAAGAAAGAUGGAUCUUGGCGCAUGUGUACGGACAGUAGAGCCGUUAACAAGAUCACCGUAAGGUAUAGAUUCCCUAUUUCCCGUCUGGAUGAUAUGUUGGAUCAGCUUAGUGGAGCAAGAGUGUUCACAAAGCUAGAUUUAAGAAGUGGAUAUCAUCAAAUCCGUAUAAGACCCGGGGAUGAAUGGAAGACCGCCUUCAAGACAAAGGAAGGGUUGUUUGAAUGGCUAGUCAUGCCAUUUGGACUCUCAAAUGCACCAAGUACCUUUAUGCACUUAAUGAAUCAAGUCCUUAGACCCUUCUUAUCCCACUUUGUUGUGGUCUAUUUCGAUGACAUCUUGAUCUAUAGCAAGGAUGAGGAUGAACACUUUGAUCACAUUCGGAAGGUGCUAGAAGUACUAAGGGAAAAUGAGCUCUACGUCAACUUGAAGAAAUGUGUUUUCCUGCAAACACAACUUCUUUUCCUAGGAUUCGUCAUAACAUGUGACGGCAUUCGUGUUGAUGAUUCUAAGGUUGAAGCAAUCCGAGAAUGGCCAACUCCUAAGACCAUUUCUGAGGUAAGAAGCUUUCAUGGCCUUGCAACUUUCUAUAGGCGAUUUGUUAAGAAUUUCAGCACUAUCAUGGCACCAAUUACCGAGUGUUUGAAGAAAGGAAAGUUCCAAUGGGCAGAAGCAGCUGAAGCUAGCUUCAAUGAGAUUAAACAAAAGCUAUCACAAGCUCCUGUCUUGGUACUACCUGAUUUCAACAAGACUUUUGAGUUGGAGUGUGAUGCAAGUGGAGUAGGCAUUGGAGCUGUCCUAUCUCAAGAAAGGAAGCCCAUUGCUUUCUUUAGUGAGAAGUUAAGUGAAGCUAGACAGAAAUGGAGUACCUAUCAGCAAGAAUUAUACGCCGUUUUCAGAGCGUUGAAAACUUGGGAAGUCUAUUUGCUGCCUAAAGAGUUCAUUGUUUAUAGCGACCAUCAAUCCUUGAAGCAUUUUAGAAAUCAAAAGCAUGUUGACCGCAUGCUAGCAAGAUGGGCAGCAUAUCUUGAGAGGUUUAACUAUCUCAUCGUGCAUAAAUCUGGAAUAACUAACAGAGUGGCCGAUGCUUUGAGUCGUCGUGCAUUCCUCUUGACUUCUUUUGAAGUUGAACUUCCGGGCAUGGUUCAAAUAAAGGAGUUGUAUGAGGGUGACGAAGACUUUGGCCAUGUUUGGGUAAAGCACGCAAGGGGCCAACCAUUAGGUGAUGACUAUUUGAUGCAAGAUGGAUAUCUCUUCAAAAAUGAUCGUUUGUGCAUUCCAAGUUCUCUACGUGACAAGCUGGUUAGAGAGCUCCAUUCAAGUGAUCUUAGUGGCCAUGUUGGACGGGACAAGACUAUCGCUAACCUGGAAGCUCGCUACUUUUGGCCACAACUAAAGAGAGAUGCUGGAAAGUUCGUUCAACGGUGCCCCGUAUGUCAGACCUGCAAAGGCCAAGUCCAGAACACAGGGUUAUACAUGCCUUUGCCUGUUCCUGUUGCUCCAUGGGAGGACAUUUCUAUGGACUUCGUCUUGGGCUUGCCAAGAACAAGACGAGGAAGUGAUGCUGUAUUUGUGGUCGUGGAUAGAUUCUCUAAGAUGGCUCAUUUCAUCCCAUGCCGCAAGACAACGGAUGCUCAUCAUGUGGCAAACCUAUUUUUUCGAGAAGUGGCCAAACUUCAUGGAGUUCCAAGGUCCAUUGUCUCAGACCGUGAUAGCAAGUUUCUUGCUGCAUUUUGGCUCACUUUGUGGAAGCAAUUCAACACUGAAUUGAAAUUUUCUAGCACUGCUCAUCCACAAACAGAUGGACAAACGGAAGUGGUGAACAAGUUUUUGGGUAAUCUGAUCCGUUGCAUUUGUGGAGAAAGAAAGGGGCAAUGGGAUUUGGCUUUAUCUCUUGCAGAGUUCUCCUACAAUAACUCCAAGCAUAGAUCCACAGGAAGGAGCCCUUUUUCCAUUGUCUGCACUAAAAUUCCAACACAUGUGGUGGACCUAGUGAAGCUGCCAUCAAGGGGAAACUCAAAAUCAGCAUUGUCCUUUGCUGAUAAUUACACCGAGUUAUUUGAAGAGAUUCGCGGCGCUUUGGAAGCACAAAAUCAGAAAUAUAAACAACUUGCUGAUUGCAAAAAGAGGCCAAAAUCAUUCCAAGUCGGUGAUAAGGUGAUGGUCUACCUCCGAAAAGAGAGGCCGCCUUUAGGUGUUAAAGGGAAACUUAGGCAGCGAAGGUAUGGGCCCUUCUCUAUCAUGAGGAAGAUAAAUGAUAAUGCUUAUGUGAUAGAUCUUCCAAGUGGCAUGGGUAUCUCCAACACUUUCAAUGUUGCGGACUUGACUCUCUACCAUCCAGAAGAAGCGCUCUAUGAAGAUAACUCGAGGGCGAGUUCCAAACAACCAGGGGAGAAUGAUGAGGAACACUAG
Molecule: ribosomal RNA, 4404 nt
Filed under: Triticum aestivum (bread wheat)
Lineage: Eukaryota; Viridiplantae; Streptophyta; Magnoliopsida; Poales; Poaceae
Description: partial small subunit ribosomal RNA
Source: RNAcentral